Long non-coding RNA from Apis laboriosa (Himalayan honeybee), 2218 nucleotides. RefSeq lists it as uncharacterized. NCBI's taxonomy places the organism in Eukaryota, Metazoa, Arthropoda, Insecta, Hymenoptera, Apidae. The transcript has 2 exons. The record is from RefSeq and is a predicted model, not a curated record.
UUUAAAAAUUUUCGAAUUAUUUAAUUUUUUAUAGUGUAUAGAAGAAAAUUUUUUUUCAAAACUCCAUCCAUAAUAUUUAAUAUUCGUUACAUUUUAUUCCGAAGAAUUCUCUCUCAUUUUCCAUUUCAAAAUUCUAUUUUAAAUUCACCUUUAACCACAAUUUCGCGCUAAAAUUUCUUUCUCGAAACUCUUAGGAAACCAUGUUCCAAGAGAAGUGAUCACCGAACAAAGGUGUCCCUCCUAACUUCUAAUAUUGAGAGCUUGACACAUCGGGAAGUCAGUGGCUCGAAGCCAAGAGAGACAGAGAGAGAGAGAGAGAGAGAGAGACCUCCUCGUUCGCUGGACGAUGACCCUGAAUGUUCACCUAACGUUCCAUCCACAAUGAUUCGAUCCCCUCGAAUGAUCGAUCUCGACCGAAUCGCGGAUCUGGAAAAUCGGAUCGAAGUAAUCCGUGCCACGGUGUCGCGUGAACCGUGACGCGUUUUCCCGGAUGAUCGGCCCCGUGGACUUUGUCACAAAGCCCUGGCCAAUGGCGAAACUCGUUUUUGCAAAGUGAUCGUUCAUCGAGACGCGAUCGAAGCUUGGUGAAAAACGACGAAAAGAGGUUUAAAAAAAAAAGGCGUUGGUUUCGAACUAACCGACUGGCCGAACAAAGUCAAUUACAGGGAACAACAUUGGAACGGGUCGAGUCGUACCGGAUGCACUACUCUCUCUUUCUCCCCCUGUUGUUUUGUUGCUUUUAUUAGGAAACGAAGGUAGCCAGUUCUAAUACGAUUGAAGUAACUCGAAUCUCAAGGGAGAAGGUAAAAAUCUUCGAAAUUAUAGAGGUUUCAUCUUGUUCGCGUUAUACAAUGGUUCGUGAAUAUAUUUGAAUAAGUUUUUUAUUUUUAUUUUUAACGAAAAUUCGGGAUGUAAUUGGGUGGUAAUGUAAAUUCGGGAUCGGUGAAAAUUCAAAAUUUCAACGCGUGUUCAUUUUUCACGUUUGGGGAAAAUUUUUAAAUUAAAAAAAAAUUAGAUUAUAUUUUCGAGGUUAAUUAAUUUUAGAAGUUAUUCAAGUUAUUAAUUCGAAUAUCUAUAAGGAAGUAUAAUAGGAAUUUAAUUAUAAUCGUUACAACAAGACGGCAUUAACGUAUCGCGUAUUUCUCCUCAGUUUAUCCUACUUAUGUAGUUUUGCUAUCGAGAUAUUUUUCGUAUAGUUAUCAGCAUGAAUUAUUCGACGAAUUAUACGCAUUGGAAUUUCUUCUACCAAGCGAAAAAGACGUAAACGUUGGAUACGAGGGCAGCGAUAAUUAGCCGAGGAACGAGUGAAAAGAUAUUUUCACGAGAGACCAAUUUGCUAGGAAUCAUGAAGUUAUAAAAGGCCAUUAAGAGAAUCGCGAAACAGCGAUGGUGCAGAGGGCAGAGAUAUUACGGAAAAAUUGGAUUUGAGGAUUCGUGGAAAAAUGUCUUCGAAGUUAAAACCGUAGAUAAUUAAUUAGUCGACGAUAAUCCCGUUUCUCGUUAGUGAAACAACACGGGCUGUGCUUCUCUCGUGUCAAGGCUGUGUCUCAUUUUUCUCGAUUUGAUUUCGUCCUGGUAUUCCGUGGAAUGUUAAUAAUGUACUAUAAUUAGAAUACUUUUAAUCUUGAAGUGAAAAGAUUAAUAAAAGUUUUUUUCAGUGGAACGAGAUUUUUUCCUUAAUCGAAUCAAUUUGUUGUGUGUGUAUAAACAAAAUGGAAAUAAUAUUAUAAUCUCGAAGAAAAUAAAAAAAGAAUUUUAUCGAAAGUUUUUAAAUUUGAAGAGGAUUUUUUUUGAUGAUAUUUUGUCGUAACAUUCGAUUGUAAAAAUACUCGGCCAUAUUGAAUAUUUUAUGAGAAAUUGGAUGCAGUAAAAAGUAGCAACUUAUGUAUAUUUGUUACUUGGACGAGAGCCUAAUUGUUUAAGGAGAAAAUAUUAUGCAGGAUAAGAAAUCAUAUAUUUUAUAUUGAAUUUUAUAAAAUUCAAUUAUAAAAACAAAGAAGAAGAAAUACUUGAGAAUGUUAUAAGAGAGGAGUUUAAAAAAAUUCUAUCAAAAUUCAUGAAGAGAUAGCAUACCGACGUAUUCACCGAAAAUUCUAACGUAAUUUACGAGAAAACAUGGGAGGAAGAAAGAAACGAUCGAUUAUUUAAUCGAAAGGUUUUCUAUUCGAUAAAACUAAUAAUUCUUUUCGAUAUAAAAUAUAUGAUCUUCGUUGAAGGA